Molecule: ribosomal RNA, 253 nt
Filed under: uncultured bacterium
Lineage: Bacteria
Description: partial 16S ribosomal RNA
Rfam family: Bacterial small subunit ribosomal RNA
Source: RNAcentral
UACAGAGGGGGCAAGCGUUGUUCGGAAUUACUGGGCGUAAAGGGCGCGUAGGCGGCCCGCUAAGUCGAACGUGAAAUCCCCGGGCUCAACCCGGGAACUGCGUCCGAUACUGGCAGGCUUGAAUCCGGGAGAGGGAUGCGGAAUUCCAGGUGUAGCGGUGAAAUGCGUAGAUAUCUGGAGGAACACCGGUGGCGAAGGCGGCAGCCUGGACCGGCAUUGACGCUGAGGCGCGAAAGCCAGGGGAGCAAACGGG